RNAcentral lists this ribosomal RNA (253 nucleotides) under uncultured bacterium. RNAcentral describes it as "partial 16S ribosomal RNA". It matches the Rfam family "Bacterial small subunit ribosomal RNA", at positions 524 to 776 of the family's 1533-position model. The record is from RNAcentral.
UACGUAGGGUACAAGCGUUAAUCGGAAUUACUGGGCGUAAAGCGUGCGCAGGCGGUGAUGUAAGACAGUUGUGAAAUCCCCGGGCUCAACCUGGGAACUGCAUCUGUGACUGCAUCGCUGGAGUGCGGCAGAGGGGGAUGGAAUUCCGCGUGUAGCAGUGAAAUGCGUAGAUAUGCGGAGGAACACCGAUGGCGAAGGCAAUCCCCUGGGCCUGCACUGACGCUCAUGCACGAAAGCGUGGGGAGCAAACAGG